Molecule: ribosomal RNA, 468 nt
Filed under: uncultured bacterium
Lineage: Bacteria
Description: partial 16S ribosomal RNA
Rfam family: Bacterial small subunit ribosomal RNA
Source: RNAcentral
GACGAACGCUGGCGGCGUGCUUAACACAUGCAAGUCGAACGGAAAGGCCCUGCUUUUGUGGGGUGCUCGAGUGGCGAACGGGUGAGUAACACGUGAGUAACCUGCCCUUGACUUUGGGAUAACUUCAGGAAACUGGGGCUAAUACCGGAUAGGAGCUCCUGCUGCAUGGUGGGGGUUGGAAAGUUUCGGCGGUUGGGGAUGGACUCGCGGCUUAUCAGCUUGUUGGUGGGGUAGUGGCUUACCAAGGCUUUGACGGGUAGCCGGCCUGAGAGGGUGACCGGCCACAUUGGGACUGAGAUACGGCCCAGACUCGUACGGGAGGCAGCAGUGGGGAAUAUUGCACAAUGGGCGGAAGCCUGAUGCAGAAACGCCGCGUGCGGGAUGACGGCCUUCGGGUUGUAAACCGCUUUCGCCUGUGACGAAGCGUGAGUGACGGUAAUGGGUAAAGAAGCACCGGCUAACUACGUG